CCCAGGGCCGCCAGCAGCCGGAGCGCGCUCGCCUCGCGGGGGGUCGCCGGAACCGGACGCGGCCCCGCCCCCGGAGCCUCACCGGGCAGCGCCGCGUCCUCUGCCGGCCCGGGGCACCCACGAUUCGGAACGAACGGACCUCCCGACAGCGGCCGAGGCGCUGGGACCCAAACCCACGCACGCGUGCUCUCCGCCCAUUUUCUAUGAAUCGUGGCCGAUGACGGUUGUCUGCCGUCAACCUAAUCACAACUGCUGUGCUGUCUUCACUGGAACAGAUCAACACGGCCCUGGUUCCUGGCAUGCAGCUAGUGGUCUGGUGAAUGCAUUCUUUCCAUUCCCAUCAAUAAAAAGGACCAAAGGCAGUUCAUGAUUAAGUGGGAAGGACAACGGAAUACAUCCAACUUCUUGACAAAGGACUUGUCAACCCUCCUACUUCACACAGGGACUGAUUUUGUGGACAUUCUGUGGAACAUCCUUCAACUGAUAACAUCCUAAUAAUCAGACCUGGUGAAGAGGAAGUGGCAGGCGUACAUGGAUCCCUCAGUAACACACACACAUACCAGAGGAGGGGAGAUAAACCCUACAAAGAUGCCAGGGCCUUUUAUAUCAGUGAAGUUUUUAAGGGUCCAAGCAUCUGAGGCAUGCUGGGACAUUCUAAGGUAAGGGACAAAUUACUGCAUCUUGCCCUCACUACUAAGACUAAGAAAGAGGCAGUGUUUGGUGGGCCUCCUUGGAUUUUGGAGGCAGCACAUCCACUUUCAAGUGUGGUCCAGUCACACAGCCCAAGCACCAUAUGACCCGGCAGAUUCAAAUGGUGUUAGAGUCAUCUGUGUUGGAUAGAAAUGUUGUGUAGAGGUCUGCCAAGCCCAAUAGGAACUUGCCAAUAGAAGUCAUGCCUGCUGCAGCAGAGAACUACGCAGUUUGAAAAGCAGCUCCUGGGAUGCUACUGACCAUGACAGCAAAUGACUACGUGCCUGUAGCUAUUGAUCACAGCUGAGUAUUUUCUGACUCAAGUCACUCGACUGGGUAGACAGAGCAACCAUCCAUCAUGUGGGGGAAGUGUCACACUUGGGAUCAGGCAUGAGCAGGUCCAGAAGCCACAAGGUAUGUACGCAGGAGGCUCAGACCCAUCCCCGUCUCCUACGUUUGCUGAAGUGAUGCCCUCCCUCUGUUCACACCUGUGGAUUCACGGAAGGCUCCCUUUAACCUGUCGGUGGAACACCUAGGGUUUGUUUCACAGAGGGAUCAGCUCAAGACACUGAUGUGAACCAGAAAUGCAUUGUUGAUGCACUCCGGCCUUCCCCAGGAGGGCCCUACAGGCCAGCGUGAGGGGAAAUCCAGUGGGCAGAGCUGCAGUCUACCUGGAGGGAGAGACUGUAUGUCUGUACGUCUCGCUUGCAUGGAGGGAGAAGCAGCCUAAGGUAAAGAUUUCACGGCCUGCUGGGCUGUGAGACAGCACAGAUGUGGGACCCCUUCACCUCUCACCAAAGUAGGACGAUGAGCGGCAGCUCUUGGGGCCCAGCAGGAUGCUUCAUUUCCCUCAUAUGCAGCAGCUCCACCAGGGGCCUAAAGAUAAUCAGCUGCUGCCUGAUCACUAAAUUCUCUGUGGGCCUCCAUCACGGUUAAUAUGCAAACAGCACAGCUCACGUGAAAUGUACUGAGUUUAAGGUGCUGGCAGGACAUCAGGAUCGUCAGUAAGCUACCGGAGGAGUAAGACUAUUUCGUAUUUCAAGCACUAUUGAUUCUUUUUCAGCAAUGACCCUCUCCCUAACUUAUCUGGCUGGUGCAUAAAGACUUAGUUAUUUAAUCAUCCCAGGAUGGCAUUCAGGCUGGUUUCCAGAGAUCAGAACUGGUACUAGACAUGAGACUUUCUUGCUGUCCCUAAUCCUGGCAUGUAGGUUCGUCUGACCCUAAGGGCUGCAGCAGUAGACAAAAAGGUAUUUCAGUGACUACUAGUCAGAGGUAAAAAAAAAAAACCUUGUAACAUGAAGAUAAGCAAGUGAGAGGAGGGAGUGAACUAACUGGGUUUCUAGGGGAGAGGAGGACUUGCCGGCCAGAAGACUUUAUAAGGGACACAGAGAAAAAUAUCUUAAGACCUCAGAGAGACCGCAGUCAGAAGGAAGAGGCAGGAUGGACCUAAGUAAUCGUAUUAUGUAUUAUUGACUUCUGGAGUUUAGAAGAAACUUCUCGGGGAGAGUCACACUUUCAGACUUUGGUAGAGACAGAAUAUACACAACAAAAAGCACAGGAGGCUGACAGAAUGUUCCCAGCGAUGGAAAAAUGUGUUCAGUCUGUAGAAAACCACAAUGUAGACCAAGAGGCAGCAGGCGACUACACCCUACCGCGACCUCCUGACACACACGUUCACAAGUACUAAAAGUUCCAUUUACCCAAAGCCAAAUUUUCCAAACGCUAAACCAGGAGACGUUUCCUCUCUUCAGCAUAGUGUUCAAUAACCAACAGACCCUCUAUUAUAAUAACAGUCUUGAGGCAUUACAAGAUGUUCUAAGUUUAUUCUGAAUCAGAUUAAAUUGUGUUCAGCGUGGCUCAAUUCUUUACAAAUUGUCAUUCUUGAAUACAUAUUAAAACAGUUAAACAGC
This is a long non-coding RNA of Equus caballus (horse), 2600 nucleotides long. RefSeq lists it as uncharacterized. Lineage: Eukaryota; Metazoa; Chordata; Mammalia; Perissodactyla; Equidae. The record is from RefSeq and is a predicted model, not a curated record.